GACGAACGCUGGCGGCGUGCCUAAUACAUGCAAGUGGGACGCAAGGAAACACACUGUGCUUGCACACCGUGUUUUCUUGAGUCGCGAACGGGUGAGUAACGCGUAGGUAACCUGCCUAUUAGCGGGGGAUAACUAUUGGAAACGAUAGCUAAUACCGCAUAAUAUUAAUUAUUGCAUGAUAAUUGAUUGAAAGAUGCAAGCGCAUCACUAGUAGAUGGACCUGCGUUGUAUUAGCUAGUUGGUAAGGUAAGAGCUUACCAAGGCGACGAUACAUAGCCGACCUGAGAGGGUGAUAGGCCACACUGGGACUGAGACACGGCCCAGACUCCUACGGGAGGCAGCAGUAGGGAAUCGUCGGCAAUGGACGAAAGUCUGAACGAGAAACGCCGCGUGAGUGAAGAAGGUUUUCGGAUCGUAAAGCUCUGUUGUAAGUCAAGAACGUGUGUGAGAGGGGAAAGUUCACACAGUGACGGUAGCUUACCAGAAAGGGACGGCUAACUACGUG
This 505-nucleotide ribosomal RNA is filed under the name uncultured bacterium. RNAcentral's name for it is "partial 16S ribosomal RNA". It matches the Rfam family "Bacterial small subunit ribosomal RNA", at positions 28 to 507 of the family's 1533-position model. The record is from RNAcentral.